AUUGAACGCUAGCGGGAUGCUUUACACAUGCAAGUCGAACGGCAGCGCGGACUUCAGUCUGGCGGCGAGUGGCGAACGGGUGAGUAAUGUAUCGGAACGUGCCCAGUAGCGGGGGAUAACUACGCGAAAGCGUAGCUAAUACCGCAUACGCCCUACGGGGGAAAGCAGGGGAUCGUAAGACCUUGCACUAUUGGAGCGGCCGAUAUCGGAUUAGCUAGUUGGUGAGGUAACGGCUCACCAAGGCGACGAUCCGUAGCUGGUUUGAGAGGACGACCAGCCACACUGGGACUGAGACACGGCCCAGACUCCUACGGGAGGCAGCAGUGGGGAAUUUUGGACAAUGGGGGCAACCCUGAUCCAGCCAUCCCGCGUGUGCGAUGAAGGCCUUCGGGUUGUAAAGCACUUUUGGCAGGAAAGAAACGUCGCGGGCUAAUACCCCGUGGAACUGACGGUACCUGCAGAAUAAGCACCGGCUAACUACGUG
Molecule: ribosomal RNA, 484 nt
Filed under: uncultured bacterium
Lineage: Bacteria
Description: partial 16S ribosomal RNA
Rfam family: Bacterial small subunit ribosomal RNA
Source: RNAcentral